RNAcentral lists this ribosomal RNA (442 nucleotides) under uncultured bacterium. RNAcentral's name for it is "bacterial SSU rRNA". It matches the Rfam family "Bacterial small subunit ribosomal RNA", at positions 958 to 1398 of the family's 1533-position model. The record is from RNAcentral.
AACGCGAAGAACCUUACCAGCUUUUGACAUGCCCUGGACGGAUACCAGAGAUGGUUUCUUCUCUUCGGAGCCGGGGACACAGGUGCUGCAUGGCUGUCGUCAGCUCGUGUCGUGAGAUGUUGGGUUAAGUCCCGCAACGAGCGCAACCCUCGCCCUUAGUUGCCAUCAUUUAGUUGGGCACUCUAGGGGGACUGCCGGUGAUAAGCCGCGAGGAAGGUGGGGAUGACGUCAAGUCCUCAUGGCCCUUACAGGCUGGGCUACACACGUGCUACAAUGGCGGUGACAAUGGGAUGCGAUGCCGCAAGGCCGAGCAAAUCUCAAAAAGCCGUCUCAGUUCGGAUUGCACUCUGCAACUCGAGUGCAUGAAGGUGGAAUCGCUAGUAAUCGUAGAUCAGCAUGCUACGGUGAAUACGUUCCCGGGCCUUGUACACACCGAGACGAC